This is a transfer RNA of Gonapodya prolifera JEL478, 73 nucleotides long. It matches the Rfam family "tRNA". Rfam says of the family: Transfer RNA (tRNA) molecules are approximately 80 nucleotides in length. Their secondary structure includes four short double-helical elements and three loops (D, anti-codon, and T loops). The record is from Rfam. NCBI's taxonomy places the organism in Eukaryota, Fungi, Monoblepharomycota, Monoblepharidomycetes, Monoblepharidales, Gonapodyaceae.
GUCUGCUUAGCGCAGUGGUUAGCGCGUCUGCUUUACACGCAGAAGGUCGUGAGUUCAAUCCUCACAGUGGACA